GAAAUCCUGAGCAAUCGGGAGAGUAAAGUGGCGCACGGGUGAGUAACGCGUGGGUAAUCUACCCUUGAAUUGGGGAUAACUCCGCGAAAGCGGGGCUAAUACCGAAUAAUAUUUUGAGGUCUUCGGACCUUAAAAUCAAAGAUGGCCUCUGCAUGCAAGCUAUCGUUUAAGGAUGGGCCCGCGUACCAUUAGCUUGUUGGUAUUGUUUCGGCCUACCAAGACGAAGAUGGUUAGCUGGUCUGAGAGGAUGGCCAGCCACACUGACUCGUUAUACGNUGAUGACUCCUACNUUAAUCGAUGUGGAA
This 305-nucleotide small RNA is filed under the name uncultured bacterium. RNAcentral describes it as "bacterial SSU rRNA". It matches the Rfam family "Bacterial small subunit ribosomal RNA", at positions 69 to 361 of the family's 1533-position model. The record is from RNAcentral.